GAAUUCGCUGCAUAGAAUCUUAAUGUUAACUAUGAAAUUUUAGGUUUUUGGAUAAUACAGACUACACUUGUGUAUCCCACGGUGUUUUCUAAAUUUAAAGCACCAGUGUAUCCCACGGUGCAUCUUUACAUUUUCAUAUAUAUCUAUCUUCACAUCUAUCUAUCUACCUGGUUGCCAUAUUAUCUUCGGGUAACCGACCAUAGAUCUAUCUACAUAUACAUGGUCUAUGGUCUAUCUAUCUAUAUAUAUAUAUUAUAUAUUGUAUGAAUCUAUCAUAUUAUGAAUAAAAGCUGUGGCCAGAUAUCGCCAAACCAUAUAUGUAUUUUGUUUUAAUGGCACCAUCUGAGAUAAUUGCAAAA
This 359-nucleotide long non-coding RNA is filed under the name Mytilus galloprovincialis (Mediterranean mussel). The record is from RNAcentral. Lineage: Eukaryota; Metazoa; Mollusca; Bivalvia; Mytilida; Mytilidae.